This 184-nucleotide non-coding RNA is filed under the name Anaerolineae bacterium. RNAcentral's name for it is "6S RNA". It matches the Rfam family "6S / SsrS RNA". Rfam says of the family: E. coli 6S RNA was the first non coding RNA to be sequenced, but its function was unknown until recently. The record is from RNAcentral. Lineage: Bacteria; Bacillati; Chloroflexota; Anaerolineae.
AUGUCCCUGCUGUGUUCGUGAUGCGCCACGCGUCUUGAACCAACACUCCCUGAUUAGGAGACCUUAUUUUAAGAGGGGAUGCGGUAGCCUGCGAAAGGGCAAGGCUGAGCCUUCUUAAUCGGGUUUCCACCUGCUUAUGCAGGUUCAAGGAUAAAUGGCUGACACACGGCAUGGCGGGGUUAAA